UACGUAGGGGGCGAGCGUUGUCCGGAAUUAUUGGGCGUAAAGAGCGUGUAGGCGGUCCGGUAAGUCCGCUGUGAAAGUCAAGGGCUCAACCCUUGAAUGCCGGUUGAUACUGUCGGGCUAGAGUCCGGAAGAGGCGAGUGGAAUUCCCGGUGUAGCGGUGAAAUGCGCAGAUAUCGGGAGGAACACCAAUGGCGAAGGCAGCUCGCUGGGACGGUACUGACGCUGAGACGCGAAAGCGUGGGGAGCAAACAGG
Molecule: ribosomal RNA, 253 nt
Filed under: uncultured bacterium
Lineage: Bacteria
Description: partial 16S ribosomal RNA
Rfam family: Bacterial small subunit ribosomal RNA
Source: RNAcentral